UACGGAGGGUGCGAGCGUUAUCCGGAAUCACUGGGUUUAAAGGGUGCGUAGGCGGGAGAUUAAGUCAGUGGUGAAAGCCUGUCGCUUAACGAUAGAAUUGCCAUUGAUACUGAUUUUCUUGAAUUGGGUUGAGGUUAGCGGAAUGUGACAUGUAGCGGUGAAAUGCAUAGAUAUGUCAUGGAACACCAAUUGCGAAGGCAGCUAACUGGGCCUUGAUUGACGCUGAGGCACGAAAGCGUGGGUAGCGAAC
Molecule: ribosomal RNA, 250 nt
Filed under: uncultured bacterium
Lineage: Bacteria
Description: partial 16S ribosomal RNA
Rfam family: Bacterial small subunit ribosomal RNA
Source: RNAcentral